GGCACCUUAGCUCAGUUGGUAGAGCAACGGACUGAAAAUCCGUGUGUCCGCCGUUCGAUUCGGCGAGGUGCCACCA
RNAcentral lists this transfer RNA (76 nucleotides) under Candidatus Zhuqueibacterota bacterium 4484_188. Its description in RNAcentral is "candidate division KSB1 bacterium 4484_188 tRNA-Phe". It matches the Rfam family "tRNA". Rfam says of the family: Transfer RNA (tRNA) molecules are approximately 80 nucleotides in length. Their secondary structure includes four short double-helical elements and three loops (D, anti-codon, and T loops). Further hydrogen bonds mediate the characteristic L-shaped molecular structure. tRNAs have two regions of fundamental functional importance: the anti-codon, which is responsible for specific mRNA codon recognition, and the 3' end, to which the tRNAs corresponding amino acid is attached (by aminoacyl-tRNA synthetases). tRNAs cope with the degeneracy of the genetic code in two manners: having more than one tRNA (with a specific anti-codon) for a particular amino acid; and 'wobble' base-pairing, i.e. permitting non-standard base-pairing at the 3rd anti-codon position. Lineage: Bacteria; Pseudomonadati. The record is from RNAcentral.